RNAcentral lists this transfer RNA (56 nucleotides) under Bos indicus (zebu cattle). RNAcentral's name for it is "tRNA-Phe". Lineage: Eukaryota; Metazoa; Chordata; Mammalia; Artiodactyla; Bovidae. The record is from RNAcentral.
UUAACCCAAAGCAAGGCACUGAAAAUGCCUAGAUGAGUCUCCCAACUCCAUAAACA